Molecule: non-coding RNA, 24 nt
Filed under: Arabidopsis thaliana (thale cress)
Lineage: Eukaryota; Viridiplantae; Streptophyta; Magnoliopsida; Brassicales; Brassicaceae
Source: RNAcentral
UACCGACGAACCUAGGGAGCCGAU